This 695-nucleotide ribosomal RNA is filed under the name Lambiella caeca. RNAcentral's name for it is "eukaryotic LSU rRNA". It matches the Rfam family "Eukaryotic large subunit ribosomal RNA", at positions 194 to 913 of the family's 3401-position model. Lineage: Eukaryota; Fungi; Ascomycota; Lecanoromycetes; Baeomycetales; Xylographaceae. The record is from RNAcentral.
AACAGGACGUCAUAGAGGGUGAGAAUCCCGUACGUGACCGGCGGUCAACCCCAUGUGAGGCUCCUUCGACGAGUCGAGUUGUUUGGGAAUGCAGCUCUAAAUGGGUGGUAAAUUUCAUCUAAAGCUAAAUACCGGCCAGAGACCGAUAGCGCACAAGUAGAGUGAUCGAAAGAUGAAAAGCACUUUGAAAAGAGAGUUAAAAAGUACGUGAAAUUGUUGAAAGGGAAGCGCUUGCAACCAGACUUGCCCGCAGGCGAUCUUCCGUUUUUCGGAGCCNCCGCACGUGGAGCAGGCCAGUAUCGGUUUUGGCAGUCGGACAAAGUCUCUGGGAACGUAGCUCCUCUCGGGGAGUGUUAUAGCCCGGGGUGCAAUGCGAUUAGCUGGGACCGAGGACCGCGCUUCGGCUAGGAUACUGGCGUAAUGGUUGUAAGCGACCCGUCUUGAAACACGGACCAAGGAGUCUAACAUCUAUGCGAGUGUUUGGGUGUCAAACCCAUACGCGUAAUGAAAGUGAACGGAGGUGGGAACCUUAGGGGGCACCAUCGACCGAUCCUGAUGUCUUCGGAUGGAUUUGAGUACGAGCAUAGCUGUUGGGACCCGAAAGAUGGUGAACUAUGCCUGAAUAGGGUGAAGCCAGAGGAAACUCUGGUGGAGGCUCGCAGCGGUUCUGACGUGCAAAUCGAUCGUCAAAUUUG